UACGUAGGGUGCGAGCGUUGUCCGGAUUCAUUGGGCGUAAAGAGCUCGUAGGCGGCUGUUCAAGUCGAACGUGAAAACUCGGAGCUCAACUCCGAGCCUGCGUUCGAUACUGGAUGGCUAGAGUCUGGUAGGGGGACCUGGAAUUCCUGGUGUAGCGGUGGAAUGCGCAGAUAUCAGGAAGAACACCAAUGGCGAAAGCAGCUCUCUGGGACGGUACUGACGCUGAGACGCGAAAGCGUGGGGAGCGAACAGG
RNAcentral lists this ribosomal RNA (253 nucleotides) under uncultured bacterium. Its description in RNAcentral is "partial 16S ribosomal RNA". It matches the Rfam family "Bacterial small subunit ribosomal RNA", at positions 524 to 776 of the family's 1533-position model. The record is from RNAcentral.